This 2631-nucleotide long non-coding RNA is filed under the name Mus musculus (house mouse). Its description in RNAcentral is "long non-coding RNA chr10:114095726-114098357". The record is from RNAcentral. Lineage: Eukaryota; Metazoa; Chordata; Mammalia; Rodentia; Muridae.
UCAAGACCUUUCAACCAUGAACUCUCACUCUAUUAUGACCCUUCUCAGGAUUUUGAACAUUUUAAAUCAGGAAAUGGAUAGAGUUUCCAGGUAGUUUAAAUGAUAGACUUUCCAUUCUGACCCCUGGACACUGGUGAUUCUAUGUGCUCUUGACUUUUGUUAUAGCUUUAUUUAGUGAUAUGGGGGCAGUGGCAGUGUAACGUUAUAUAGUCUGUUCUUACAGAUGACGCAUAGGUCAUUGGAGACCUCAACUUUGGUAAAAACAUGAGACUGACCCUGAACUGCUUGUCAGUUUCAUAACUGCAUUGUGAACUCUUACCUUUUGUGCCCUUUCCUGCCAUGAUGUCAUCUGCCAUUAUAUUAACUGGAGUUACACAAAUGAGAACAGUAUGUCUUUGAGGUAUCAGGGCUGUGGAUUAAAUAACUCUCUUCUUUAGUAUAUCACUGAGUCUCAUGCUUCAUUGUAAUAAUAAUAAAGGCAUUAGUACAUGUCUUAAACACAGGUUCUAACUGACUUUAUUUCUGCACCCUUCCAAACUGACAGGAAUCAGGAACUCUAAACUGUCUCACUUAUCAGUCUUUGAAGAGGAUUCCAGGAAACUAUGAGAAUUUAGCCAAUGGCAUCUUCUAGGCUUUCUCAUAGAAAGUGGUCUGAGUCUGCUUUCCAGAUAUAGAGAAGAUAAUGUGGGAAAAGGCCAGAGUACCAACUGGCCACAAGCAUUUUAAUUUGAUGCAUUCCUUGUCAUGGUUUCUGUUUAGCAUUGUAUAGAUUGAAGAGGCAUCAGCUCAGGGAAUUGAACAGCAAGGGUUUCACUGCAUGUCUACUGUGUCAACAGGUAAUAGUGAACUAGAUAGUUCCAAGUGCAGUCUCUGUAGAGUAUAUACAUGUAUACACACAUAUGAUAUAAUUAGAUAGAUAUAAAUGUAUAUAUAGACAUGUAUAUAUGUAUGUACAAACACACAUGAGCAAAAUAUACAGAAAGAAAUGUUGACUCCAUCACUCUAUUCCCCUAAAAAUCUACAUCAACCAGGCACCUCAACUCACUAAUGAAAAUCACAACUGUCUUGCUCUCUUAUAAAUAAGAUAAGUUCUGUUCCUCUGAAGAAUGAUAUACAAUACAUUUGUGAGAAUUAGUAGAAGCUCACUCGGGUAGAAUUAAAGACCUUUCAUGAAAGGCUUUCAGUAAAGUAUUUACUUGCAAGCAAGAGGACAUGAGUUCUAUUCUCAGAAGCAAUGUUGACUUGUGUAUAUUAUUAUAUCAUGUUAAACAAACAAUCAGGCAAAUGAAAAAUCAACAGCUACAAAGAAACAAAAAACCUCUAGCUAUAGGAGUGGGUGCAUGUAAUCCCAGAGCUACCUUGAAAGCAAACCAAUGGAACUUGCUGGCCAGUAGUCAUGUGUACUUAGUUAUUUCCAAGCCAUUGAGAUAUACUCUCAAAAGGGAUAGGGUGGAGAGAAACUAGAGAAUGAUGUUUCAUCUACCUUUCAGUCUCUGUACCAAUACCAUGUGGUUUUUUUUAUUACUAUUGCUCUGUAGUACAGCUUGCGGUCAGGGGUGGUGAUUCCCCCAGAAGUUCUUUUAAUGUAGAGAAUUGCUUUCACUAUCCUGGGGUUUUUGUUAUUCCAUAUGAAGUUGAGAAUUGUUCUUUCUAUCUCUGUGAAGAAUUGACUUAGAAUUUUGGUAGAGAUUACAUUGAAUCUGUAGAUUGCUUUUGGUAAGAUGGCCAUUUUUACUAUGUUAAUCCUACCAUUCAAUGAGCAUAGGAUAUUUUUCCACUUUUUUCGAUUUCUUUUGGCAGAGACUUGAAGUUCUUGUCAUACAGCUCUUUCACUUACUUUGUUAGAGUUACACAAAGAUAUGUUAUAUUAUUUGUGACUAAUGUGAAAGAAUUUGUUUCCCUAAUUUCUUCCUCAGCCCAUUUAUCCUUUCUGCAGAGGAAGGCUACUGAUUUGUUUGAUUUAAUUUUAUAUCCAGCCAUUUUGCAAAAGUUGUUUAUCAGGUGUAGGAGUUCACUGGUAGAAUUUUGGAAUUCACUUGUGUAUACUAUUAUAUCAUCUUCAAACAGUGAUACUUUGACUUCUUCCUUCCAAAUUUGUAGCCCUUUGACAUCUUUUUGUAGUCUAAUUGUUUUAGUCAGAACUUCAAGUACUAUAUCGAAUAAAUAGGAAAAGGGUGGGCACCCACAAAUAAACCUGCACACCUAUAGAUACUUGUUCUUUGACAAAGAAGCCAAAACAAUACAAUGGGGGAAAAAGGAAGGAUUUUCAACAAAUGUUGAUGAUCUAACUGGCAGUCUGCAUAUAGAAGAAUGCAAUUUGAUCCAUUUUUAUUUUCUUGUACAAAGCUGAAGUCCUAUUGGAUGAAGGACCUCCAUAUAAAUCCAGAUAUGUUGAAUCCAGCAGAAGAGAGUGGGAAAUAGCCUUGAACACAUUGACACAGGAGAGAGUUUCCUGAAUAGAACACCAAUGCCUCAGGCUCUAAGAUCUACAAUUGAAAAAUGGGACCACAUUAAACUGAAAAGCUUCUGGAAGUCAAAAAUCACUGUCAAUAUGACAAAACUGUGACCUACAGAUUGGGAAAAGAUCUUUACCAACCCUACAGCUGAUAGAAGGCUAAUAUCCAAAUAUGC